AAGGGACGUUACCCCAAAAAGAAAGAAAAUUUGAAAAUCAAUGAGACUAACGGUGGUCAAAAACCGAGAUGCUCUUGCAAAGAGAUGGAGCAGAGAUGAAAACAACAAAGGAGAAAAGUAACAGGCGGAUGGUUCUGCCACUGGAGGAGCCGAAGCACUAGACGCGAGGAAGGGAAGACGAGUUUCAGAAACUCGCCAAAAGAAAGCUCUGGGGGGAACAUGAGAGCCUUUGAGAGGGACCAGUAAAGAAAGGAUCCGUGAGGUGUCCAGCAGGGAGCUGGGAUCCUGGAACCCAAGAGGACUCCACCCAGGCUGGGACCGGGGUUCAAACGCUGCUUGCUGGGCAGCUUCAGAACUUUGCAAACGGCCUGGACACCCAUCGGGGGCACUGAUUACGUACAGGUGGAGGCACCGCCAGGUGGGAGAGCAAGAGGCUGGACAGACCCCCGCCGGCUUCUUCAAGGAGUGGCCGAGAACAACUGUAUGUCCACAAGUUCACUGUGAGCAUGUCCUGGAGACAGCUGUCCACUGGCCUUCGUCCCACUCGCAUGGUGAGAAGAAACUUCCGGGGCUUACCCAUGGUUCUCCUCUCCGUCUCAGGCGUGGGGUGAAGCCAUGUGACUGGUGCUGGCCAGUGGAGUGUGGGAGGCAGGGACGUGAUGCUCUUUCCCUGCCUCGGGGACCCAGAGAUGGAGGCGCCACCAGCGGGAGGCAGCCUGGAUCCCUGGGCCUUCGCGUGGAGGGCAGUUGCCCUGGAGAAGCUCCUGGACCCACGGCAGACUUUGCUGGAUGCAGAACAGACUUGUGCUGUGUGAGACACUGCGAUGUGGGGCUCGCUCGUUACGCAGCACAACCGAGCCUUGCUCACCGAUACAGACGUGGAAAACCACAUUCUGGUUCAAGGGAAGCCCAGAGACCUUGGACAAGUCUCUUGACUCCUCCAGGCCUCAGUUUCCCCAGGUGUACUGUCAGGCAAGGGGUCUUUUCUCCUCUGACUAGGGCCUGUGCUGCUCCUGUUCCCAAACCCCACACGCCUGGGGCAUAUCUGCCAGGACUAAGGACUGCUGGGUGCUGAGUGCUUCCUGGACGCCGGCCUCCGCUGGACCACCUUGCAGGCAUCAUGGAAUCCUCGCAGUGGCCCCAGAGGGAGGCACCAUCAUCAUCCCCAUUACCCCGUGAGGAAACUCAGGCUCCGGGAGGGGAGGACACUUGCCCGGGAAUACGGCAUCUGUGAUUCUUAACUGCUCUAAUGACAACUCCCAUCUGAUAUUUUAAUUUAUUUCUUGUAAAUGCAACUUAAAAGAAAGCCCACUGUUGACAACUUGAGAGAACUUAGAAUACGAUUUUUUUUAAAUUUGCCAUCGUAACCAUUUUUAAGCGUACAGUUCAGUGGCAUAACGUACAGUCACAUUCUUGUGCAACCAUCACCACCAUCCGUCUCCAGAACUCUUUCUGUGUGUGUGAGGAAGACUGGCCCUGAGCUAACUUCUGUUGCCAAUCUUCCUCUUUUUGCUCGAGGAAGAUUGUCGCUGAGCUAACAUCUGUGCCCAUCUUCCUCUAUUUUAUGUGGGAUGCCAACACAGCAUGGCUUAAUGAACGGUGCCAGGUCCACAUCCGGGAUCUGAACCCAGGAACCCCAGCCGCAGAACGGAGCACACGGACUUAAGCACUACGCUGUGGGGCCAGCCCUUCCAGAACUCUUUU
Molecule: long non-coding RNA, 1704 nt
Organism: Equus caballus (horse)
Lineage: Eukaryota; Metazoa; Chordata; Mammalia; Perissodactyla; Equidae
Source: Ensembl